CCUACGGGUGGCAGCAGUGGGGAAUAUUGCGCAAUGGGCGAAAGCCUGACGCAGCGACGCCGCGUGAGGGAUGAAGGUCUUCGGAUCGUAAACCACUGUCAGCAGGGAAGAACGGUCACUGUGCUAAUCAGCAGUGAAUUGACGGUACCUGCAAAGGAAGCACCGGCUAACUCCGUGCCAGCAGCCGCGGUAAUACGGAGGGUGCGAGCGUUAAUCGGAAUUACUGGGCGUAAAGCGCUCGUAGGCGGUAUGUCAAGUCAAGGGUGAAAUCCCCGCGCUCAACGUGGGAACUGCCUUUGAAACUGGCAAGCUGGAGUGUGUGAGAGGAUAGUGGAAGUCCAGGUGUAGGAGGGAAAUCCGUAGAUAUCUGGAGGAACAUCAGUGGCGAAGGCGACUAUCUGGCACAUAACUGACUCUGAGGAGCGAAAGCGUGGGUAGCAAACAGGAUUAGAUACCCCAGUAGUC
Molecule: ribosomal RNA, 465 nt
Filed under: uncultured bacterium
Lineage: Bacteria
Description: partial 16S ribosomal RNA
Rfam family: Bacterial small subunit ribosomal RNA
Source: RNAcentral